RNAcentral lists this ribosomal RNA (225 nucleotides) under uncultured Eubacteriales bacterium. RNAcentral describes it as "uncultured Clostridiales bacterium partial 16S ribosomal RNA". It matches the Rfam family "Bacterial small subunit ribosomal RNA", at positions 111 to 334 of the family's 1533-position model. The record is from RNAcentral. Lineage: Bacteria; Bacillati; Bacillota; Clostridia; Eubacteriales.
UAACGCGUGAGUAGCCUGCCUUACACAAGGGGAUAGCCUCUGGAAACGGAGAAUAAUACCCUAUGAAACUAUCUUAUCGCAUGAAAAGAUAGUCAAAGUGUUUUAGCGGUGUAAGAUGGACUUGCGUCUGAUUAGCUAGUUGGUGAGAUAACAGCCCACCAAGGCAACGAUCAGUAGCCGGCUUGAGAGAGUGUACGGCCACAUUGGGACUGAGACACGGCCCAG